Molecule: long non-coding RNA, 496 nt
Filed under: Cricetulus griseus (Chinese hamster)
Lineage: Eukaryota; Metazoa; Chordata; Mammalia; Rodentia; Cricetidae
Description: lncRNA (ENSCGRG00015042794.1)
Source: RNAcentral
GAGUCCCGCCCACCAUCACCACUUGACCCGCGACCUGGGGCGGGGUCGAGAAAGAAUCAAAUCCAAAAUCAGCAACGAGGACGACGACAAUAACAUGACGACGACUCAACAACAACAACGACGGCGGCGAUAAUAAUAAAGACACAGGGACAGAAACAACAACAGAACAUCAACAGCGACGACAAUAAUAAUAACCAUUCAACAACAGCGACAGCGGCGGCGGCGAUAAUAAUAAAAUAAUGAGAUUCCAACAACAGCGACGACGGCGGCGGCGAUAAUAAUAAAAUAAUGAGAUUCCAACAACAGCGACGGCGGCGGCGGCGAUAAUAAUAAAAUAAUGAGAUUCCAACAACAGCGACGGCGGCGGCGGCGAUAAUAAUAAAAUAAUGAGAUCCCAACAACAGCGACGGCGGCGGCGGCGAUAAUAAUAAAAUAAUGAGAUUCCAACAACAGCGACGGCGGCGGCGGCGAUAAUAAUAAAAUAAUGAGAUUCCAA